Long non-coding RNA from Piliocolobus tephrosceles (Ugandan red Colobus), 2654 nucleotides. RefSeq lists it as uncharacterized. The record is from RefSeq and is a predicted model, not a curated record. The transcript is spliced from 2 exons. Lineage: Eukaryota; Metazoa; Chordata; Mammalia; Primates; Cercopithecidae.
CCGCCCGCGCCACCCCCGCGCGCUCGCGACCCUGCGCGGGCCGGCCACCGGGUGGGGCCGAGUCGGGGCGCCCUCCGGGGGUCGCCGGGAGGACCGAAGGGCUGACGGGCCUGGCCCCGCCCCGGGACUGUCGCGCCGUGGGGAGGGCGCGGCUGCGCCCCGAAACUGCCUGGCCGGGGCGGGGCCGCGCCGGAGCUGGGGUGGGUCCUCCAGGCCGGGGCCACGCUGCGGGGCUUUGCUCCCUGGGACGUCCCUGCGGCCUGUCCCUUCGGGCUCCACGAGGAGCCCGGGCGCCAGUGCCGGGCUGGGGAAGGGGCGCGGCGGGGGUCCCCGACACUCUGCAUCCCUGGGCGCGGGGGAGCCCUCACCUCGCCGUGGUCCCCGAGCGCAGCCACGACCAUGCAGGUCCUUCCACGGGGCGCCCUGCCCCGGGUCUACGUUGUUUGGGAGACCGAGACCCCUUUCUACCCGACUCGACACAUCCCUGCCCCUCAAAUCACAGGCCGGAUUGUCCGCAGGCGCGCGCUCCGGCUUGGGGCUACCCCGCCCCCUUCUGUGUUGAGGAGGUGGUGUGGAGCGAGGCCUUUGUUUCAUUCUGGUCACCUGUAGACAUCAUAGGGAAACUGAGGUAGACAACGGAAACCCUGACUUUCCUGAAGGUCGGCUCCGCAGUCUCGGGCGGUCGGGGGGAUUCCCUCGUCCUUUUACGAUGCUAGUUAAGGGCAGGGGUCAGGGCUGCGUGGGUUUAGGCACAGGCUGGUUCGGGGCGCUCACUUCUUGCCCGGAGCGGCGCCAGUGCUUUGGUUACACACCCCGUGAGGCGCCCGGCACUAGUUUCCUUGUGCACUGCAGGAAUUUUCAGGGUUGGAGCGCCGGCCGCGGAGGGAUGGCAGUCAGGCCGCGCAGUGAGGCGACGGACUCGCCCGAGGUCGCAGGGCGUUCAGCUUGACUCGACAGGCUGGAGGACGGGGCCAGGGUCCCCACGCGGAGUCCCGAGCCCUGCAGGGUUAGCUCGCGACCCCGUGUUUGGGAGCGAGAACAGCGAGUCAGGGCACGGCGGCCGGCCCAGCUCACCUGCGGGCUGCAGUCACCCCGGACGCCGAGACCCGUGCCUAAGGUCCCCGUGCCCCAGGCCUCCCGGGGGUACUGAGCUCUCCAGGCCCAGACUCUCCGGGGGCCCGGGCAAGGAUGUCAGGUGUGUUCCCUCCCGUGGCGAAGCCGGGGCUGGGCCUCCUACAAACCCACACGGAGUCGCGUCCCUGGUCAGAACCGCACAGCCUGCUCGACCCCCGGGUGGGGACUUCCACUUGGGGGGGUCCCAAGAUGCGACGUGCCCCACCGUGGGACACGGGGCGGGUGGGCAAUAGCCUGCCCCUCCCGGUCUCCGGCCUCCUCCGAAGCUCCUUUGUCUGGGAAGUGCGGGGAGGCGCAGGCCCCGGGCGCGAGUCCCCGUCCCCCACCCUUCCUCGCCACUUUGCAGACCCGAGGCCGCCAGGGUCAUGGGGGCGGGGCUGGCGCCUCGAGACCCCGGGGUUCCCCGCCACCCCCAGGGCCUGAGCCGCAGGGAGGGGCGGGGAGGGGGCGCCGCCCCGGGCGGGGGACGGGGAGCGACUUCCUCCUCUGCGGCCGCGUCACGCGGCGGGGGUCAAGGUGCGGCCCAGGUGCGCGGCGGGGGGCGGCGGCGCGGCCAUAUUUGGCGAUUUCGGCGCCGCCGGAGCCCCGCCCCCCGCCGCCGGGAAGCCGGGCCCGGGGCAGCGCCGUCCCCGCCUGCCGCCGGGCCUGAGUCACGGCGGGCGGGGGGCGGAAGUAACGGACGGGGAGCGCCCGCCCGGCGCUCCUGGCCUUAUUUAGUCAAAGAGGCCGCCGAUUGGCGCGCGGGACAAAGGGGCGGUGGCGGGGCAGCCCCGGGGUGCUGGACUGGCCCGGCGCCUCCGAGGGGUUGGGGCGGGAGCCGGGCGUGGGGGGCCUCGGCGCCUGGGGAGUCCCGGGGCCGAGGGCGGCGGAGGAUGCGGGGCUGCCUGCCCCUGGGAAGCGGGCGGGCAGGGCGAGGCCUGGAGCCCACGGGGCGCAGGGGGCCGGACCGCGCACUGUGAUUUUUCUGUUUUGCAGCGGGGCCUCGCCCAAGGUUGCGCCAGGGCUGUCCUGGGCUAUGCUCUGGGAAGCCGGUGGCGCAGGGUGGCCACCACCACCCUUCUAGAACCAGUGCCGGAGAGGGCCGGGCAGCUGGGCCUGGGGAGGGGACCGCAUGGAUGGAACUGGGGGGAGCUGGGCGGCCGCCGAGCCGGGAGAGUCAGCAGCUGCACUUCCGCCACAGGGUUUCAAGUGAUCCACUCGCCUGGGCCUUCCAAAGUGCUGGGAUGACAGGUGUGAGCCACCUUGCCCAGCCUGGAAUGUGUUAUCAUCUCCCACUAAAUGAAACGAUGGACCCUGAACAGAAAAAGGAACCGUGGUGGAAGAAAUAGCAAAACCCAAAGCCUCGAGUUUGGUCGUAUUAAGGUUAAUCUCUCAGUUAUGCCAGUUGUCCUAUGACCCUGUAAGAUGCCAGGUUAGGGGACACUGGGAGUAGAGCAUUGGGAACUUUCCUGCUGUCUUUGCAACUUUUCUGUAAGUCUAAAGUUAUCCCAUAAUAAAAAGCUAACUUGAAUCCAAGGCAA